Cucurbita pepo subsp. pepo (vegetable marrow) is the source of this 2267-nucleotide non-coding RNA. NCBI's taxonomy places the organism in Eukaryota, Viridiplantae, Streptophyta, Magnoliopsida, Cucurbitales, Cucurbitaceae. The record is from RefSeq and is a predicted model, not a curated record.
UUGAUUUUUCGCGGGCCGUGCUUCAUCAUUCUUCAAGUGCGUUACUGUGUUUCAUGAAAAACCCUAGACUGAGUUUUUAGAUUUUAUGCUGAAGCUGGUGAGAAAGGGUUAAAGCUUGGAGGUUUGAGAGAUGAUCCGUUUCGCGAAAUUGAAAUCUCUGGUGCCAUCUGCAGAUUCCGGCAGCCACCAUUUGCUUCAAAGGUGCUGGGUGAGUGGUACUGCCAAAGGAAAAUCAAAAAUCAAAGCUGGGCAACAGCUGAAGCGCUCCAAAAUAACCAUCAAGAAAGGUGGAGCCGCCUCUUCCAAGGGUGGAGGAGGAGGAGGAGGAAGAAAAAUCUCUCUCGAACAGGAAAAGCUCUAUGACCAAUGUCUAAAUGCUCCUACGCCUUUGCGGUUCCUGAAGCCCAAAGACAGAGAACGCGAGGCCGAGCGGGAGAAGCUGGGGCUCAUCAGCAAAGAGCGCCAGCGCGAGAUUGAGAUGAUGAAGAUGGAUAAAUCGAAAUUGGGCGUCUCUGAUUCUCCAUCGAUCAUUGGAACUAUGGGGUUGGAUCUGAUAACGCUAGGUGUGGUCGAUGCAGAUAAGAUCCCGAAGUACGAAUUGACUGUGGAAGAUGGGCGGCGGCUUGCAAAGGAAUACAGUCGGGUGUUGAUGAGGCGGCACCGUGCAAGGCAGGCAGCUGAAUCGACGCUGUUGCGGAUGAAGAAAGAUGCUAUUGAAGCAUUGCCAGAGCAUUUGAAAGCUGCCGCAUUGGUCCCAGAUUUGACUCCGUUCCCAGCGAACCGAUUCAUGGCGACAUUGACGCCUCCAAUAGAAGGCUAUAUUGAAAAGAUCAACGAAGUAGCGAAGAGGAGUAGCGGGAAAGAGAAGCUUAGAUGAUCAGAGAGGUCAGGGAUUUCUUUUGCUUGUCUUCUAAUUUCCUAAACUUAUCCUCUCAAAUUCCAUGCUUAGUCUGAUAGAUAUUUUUAGGCUUGACUUCUCUCAUAGAAUUGAUUUAUGAAGCCUUUACUUGUUUAGGAAACAAUUCCAGCAUUUUAUAUGAGGGGAGCUUCUGCCUCCUCAACUGAGGAGUCGCUGCUCCUCACACUCAUCUUCUUGGGAAAUCUCAUGUGCAAUUUUUUCAUUAUGAGGAGGAUUUUUGUCAUUACCUGGACAAGGAACCAAUUUAUCUGCUAGAUAAAUCCAACCCUGUUUUCCCACGAUCUUGGCCUGGAAUAACUGAAGCGGAAAGGGGAUCAUUGUUCAGAACUCAAAAACCUGUUAUAUGAAGUACCUGGCCAAGGAACCAAUUUGUCUUCUAGAUAAAUCUGACCUUGUUUUCCCAUGAUCUUGGUUUGGAAUAACUGAAGCUAGAAGGGGCUCAUUGUUGAGAACUCAAAAACAUGUUUUAUGAAGUACCUGGCUAAGGAGAACCAAUUUGUCUUACAGAUGGAUCCAAUCCUAUUUUCCCAAUAUCUUUGGAAUAGCUGAAGCUGAAAGUGAUUUGUUGUUGAACUCAAGGACAUUUUUUAUGAAUUCCUCUGUAGUUUAUAUUUCUGGGAAACUCAUAUAAUGCUUUUUAAAAUUAAAAUAAUAUAGGAGUAUAAUUCAAGUUAGGUCUUUUCCUUUGCCUCCCACCAUUUGCUUCGAAGUUAAAACAAUUACCAAGGUCCCAUUAUCUCAUUAAGCUAGAGCAGGCUCUGCCUGUCCUAGAGAAUCUUCAUUUUCUUCCUCAUAAUUACUCGUCUAAUUUAUGUUGGUUUGUUUUGGUCAGUAUCAGAAGUCCACCCGAGAAGCAGGCACUCUGCAUAGGUUUCAUACCUGAAGGAAACAUACAAUUUGAACUUUUAUAGUGCCUUUGGCUAUCACUACAUGGAGAAAAUAUUCCCAGGAUGACCAAUAGUCAAACUAAGUGAAUAUGCUGACAUUUUACCUUAUUUUUCAUAAGUAUGCAAAUUUGAAUAUGAAGUGUUGCAGUUGUCUAUCAGAAUUGGUGUAUGUUUAGGGUUUAGGGUUUAGGGCUUAGAUUUAUACCAAAGAAUUGGUGUAUGUGUUCUGGUUGCUUAAUGUUUUCUAGCUUUGAUGAUUCUCCAUAGGUUAUGUUUAUACUAUUUGAUAAAAUCUCUGCCUUUCUGGUUUUCCUUAUGGCCUUAUGUUUAUCUGUUUCAGUUUUCUUCUGUCAUCUACUAUUUCACUCUGGGAAUCUUGAGAUGUGAUAAUAAUAUUUGGUUGUUCGAGGUUGAUAACCGAUGAAAUUUAUGGUUGCUUAUCGCUUUGGUAUUAAUCUUGU